CCUCUCCUCCAGUCGUUCUGAAGGUUUGGAUCUCAAAUAGAGUUAAAAAAAAGAAAGAAAAGAAAAAAAAAAAAAAGGAAAAAAAAAAGCUUCUCCAGCUCUCUGAUCAUCCCUUGGUGCUUGGACAUUGUCCUGCCCCUUCAUCUGCCAGUUUUUCUUCAGAAGAAGUGUAUUAAAAGGCCCCAAAAUCAUGAGGCCCAGAGGCCCUGAUGCUGGCAGUUUUAUGGAGAUAGCAACAGAAAGAACAUCCCGUCAUCACAGCAGCCUGGAGGUGGAGCACUGGAAAAAAGGAGGCUGCCCAGAAAUAUCUUUGCAGGAAGGGAAGAAAGGAAGAGAUUCUCCCAAGGAAACCAACCAACCUUAGAAAAAAUGAAGCCCUCAGUAAAGGAAAAAAGAAAAAGGGAAUCAAGUUUUAUAUUGUCUUUUUAAUUAACCCAUCUAAUAUUGCCUGAGUAUGCAGGAGCAGAGAAACGAGGAAGUAGCAGAGAUUACGGUAAGGGUUUGCUGUAUCCCAUGUCCUAAGUGUAAAUAAUGUUCCUGUUAAUUUAAAACCAAGGCUGACUGUCUUUACGACUUCAUUGCACUCACAUUAGCUCUACCUUUAGGCAGUGUCAUGGGUGCAAAUAGAUUGGGUUGAGAACUUCCCUAGAGCCACUUUAAAGUGACAUCUAAUCUUUCCCUUUAGUGGUGUUAAUUCAACUUCACAAGAGCGUUUGAAGCACCAUUAGGCAGAGAAAUGGACCUUCUCUCCUGCUGGUGCCCUUAUCCAAAUCACAACAUUCCCCCCCCAAAAUCUGUUUCAUAUCAGGCCAACUGUCUGUGGCUCCAGAGAGCAGCUGAAGGAGACGUGGGCUUCCUCUUUAUGAGAGUUAAAUACAUAAAGGAUUUGUGUUUCGUGUUUCUUGCUGCCUGCUGGAAGUCUCUAAGCGUCUUGGGACCCUCCUGGCUCACACAAUGCAGUGGGAAUGGGGACAGAGAAAGACUUGGGGAUGCAACCAUGGAGACAGAGGAUUCCCCACAAACCAGAGUGCCUGCCAGGGUAUGAUGGCGUGCUGUUGGGAUGGAUUUUAACCAAGGAAAAGUGGAAAAUGAAGUGCUGGGAAGGAAGCCCCAUGAGC
Long non-coding RNA from Centrocercus urophasianus (Greater sage-grouse), 1118 nucleotides. RefSeq lists it as uncharacterized. The record is from RefSeq and is a predicted model, not a curated record. Lineage: Eukaryota; Metazoa; Chordata; Aves; Galliformes; Phasianidae. The transcript is spliced from 3 exons.